This 475-nucleotide long non-coding RNA is filed under the name Cyanistes caeruleus (blue tit). RNAcentral describes it as "lncRNA (ENSCCEG00000002922.1)". Lineage: Eukaryota; Metazoa; Chordata; Aves; Passeriformes; Paridae. The record is from RNAcentral.
CCAGAAGGUGGAAUGAGCCAUGGGGGGACCCCAGAAUGUGGAAGGAGCCAUUGGGGACCCCACAAAGGUUUGGGGUGCACGGCUGACCCCCAUCCCCUCGGCAGGGGCGGCCGUGGGGACCGCACGGGGCGUUACGGGGGUGCCCCACCCCUCUCCGAGGACGGCUCCCGCAGCCAGCGCGACCACGACUAUCGCGACAUGGACUAUCGCGGCUACGGGGGACCCCCGGAGGGGCCCCCCGCUGCCGGGACCCCCCCUCAGUGACCCAAUGACCCAACACCCGUGCGCUGCACUGCAGCAUUUUUUACCCAAUCACUUAAAACCACCCAAAAACCCCCAGGAGAAGAACAGGAAAAAGAAAGAAAGACAAGAAACAACACCCUAAAUAAAUCCUCUAUCUUGUCUCCUGCUCUCUAAACUACUUUUUCACCCAGUGAUUUAAGGAAGUUUUUAAUCUGCACACUUUGACUUUUCC